RNAcentral lists this small nuclear RNA (310 nucleotides) under Salvator merianae (Argentine black and white tegu). RNAcentral's name for it is "7SK RNA (ENSSMRG00000018335.1)". It matches the Rfam family "7SK RNA", at positions 1 to 275 of the family's 331-position model. From Rfam's summary of the family: 7SK was discovered as an abundant small nuclear RNA in the mid-70s but a possible function has only recently been suggested. Two independent studies have found that 7SK RNA binds the CDK9/cyclin T complex (known as elongation factor P-TEFb). The record is from RNAcentral. Lineage: Eukaryota; Metazoa; Chordata; Lepidosauria; Squamata; Teiidae.
GGAGAGUGAUCUGGCUGUAGCAUCUGUCACCCCAUUGAUUGCCAUGGUUGAUUUAGCUGAUCUGUCUGGCUAAAUCAGACCUCUCCAGGUCUGUUCCUCCCAAAGCUGCACACUUAGCAGAAAGAAUGACCAUCUUAGACAGAAGGCAUGUGCUGUUCUUUGGUCAGGGGUAUAGCUGCACCACCCUGCUAGAACCUCCAAACUAACAAACAAGUCCUCUGAAUAUAUUAUUUCUGAGUAAUUAUGCUGAGGUUUAAAUAGUGGAUUAUCACGGAUUAAGGGCAAUGGAGGAUGCAAUGAGGCUAUGACU